Molecule: ribosomal RNA, 432 nt
Filed under: uncultured bacterium
Lineage: Bacteria
Description: partial 16S ribosomal RNA
Rfam family: Bacterial small subunit ribosomal RNA
Source: RNAcentral
AACGAACGCUGGCGGCAUGCCUAACACAUGCGAGUCGAACGAGACCUUCGGGUCUAGUGGCGCACGGGUGCGUAACGCGUGGGAAUCUGCCCUUGGGUUCGGAAUAACUCGCCGAAAGGCGUGCUAAUACCGGAUGAUGACGUAAGUCCAAAGAUUUAUCGCCCAAGGAUGAGCCCGCGUUGGAUUAGCUAGUUGGUGAGGUAAAGGCUCACCAAGGCGACGAUCCAUAGCUGGUCUGAGAGGAUGAUCAGCCACACUGGGACUGAGACACGGCCCAGACUCCUACGGGAGGCAGCAGUGGGGAAUAUUGGACAAUGGGCGAAAGCCUGAUCCAGCAAUGCCGCGUGAGUGAUGAAGGCCUUAGGGUUGUAAAGCUCUUUUACCCGGGAUGAUAAUGACCGUACCGGGAGAAUAAGCUCCGGCUAACUCCGU